RNAcentral lists this transfer RNA (69 nucleotides) under Odorrana exiliversabilis. Its description in RNAcentral is "tRNA-Ala". Lineage: Eukaryota; Metazoa; Chordata; Amphibia; Anura; Ranidae. The record is from RNAcentral.
AGGGCUUAUCUUAGUUUUAAGGGCCUGAGGCGCAUUCAUGAGAUGUGGGUUAAUCUCCCGUAAGCCUUA